CAUAGAGAAAUAGAGAGAAUUCUCAAAAAGAAGAAGAAGAGAGAAAUAAAGAGAGAGGAGUUUAGAGAGAAAAUAGAGAUUUCUCCUAAAACUCAAUUGUCUUUCUUUUGUUAGAGUAUAUUUCCUCCUGUUAUAAGAGAGGAUCGGAGAGGAAAAGGCCCUGCUGAGUUGAUGAACAGGGUGGUGGCAGCGCAUGCUGAUGGUAUGGUUCUAACUGUCAAGCUAGGCAACCAAUUAAGUCAUUUCAACAAGACGAAGAAGACUGAAUGGUUCAGCUGCUGAAGCCCGUCUUAAGCACUAGUAAAGUAUUUGCAAAGCACUCAACAAGCCUGAGAUUAAAGUUAACAAUAACAUGCAUUUAGCUUCUCCAUCGGUAUUGCAUGUGUUUGCUCUGGAACAAAGAACUGUGUGUUAGAUUAGAUACUCAUAUGAUAUGAGAGGCCAGCUUUGGCACUUGCUCAAUAGUAAUUCAUAAUCGUACCCUUGAUUUCAUAA
This is a long non-coding RNA of Rosa chinensis, 495 nucleotides long. RefSeq lists it as uncharacterized. The transcript is spliced from 2 exons. The record is from RefSeq and is a predicted model, not a curated record. Lineage: Eukaryota; Viridiplantae; Streptophyta; Magnoliopsida; Rosales; Rosaceae.